GAAUUGACGGGGGCCCGCACAAGCGGAGGAACAUGUGGUUUAAUUCGAUGAUACGCGAGGAACCUUACCCGGGCUUGAAUUGCAGAGGAAGGAUUUGGAGACAAUGACGCCCUUCGGGGCCUCUGUGAAGGUGCUGCAUGGUUGUCGUCAGCUCGUGCCGUGAGGUGUCGGCUUAAGUGCCAUAACGAGCGCAACCCCUCUCCUUAGUUGCCAUCAGGUCAAGCUGGGCACUCUGGGGACACUGCCACCGUAAGGUGUGAGGAAGGUGGGGAUGACGUCAAAUCAGCACGGCCCUUACGUCCGGGGCUACACACGUGUUACAAUGGCAGGUACAGAGAGAUGGUGUUCUGCAAAGCGCAUCUAAUCCUUAAAGCCUGUCUCAGUUCGGACUGGGGUCUGCAACCCGACCCCACGAAGCUGGAUUCGCUAGUAAUCGCGCAUCAGCCAUGGCGCGGUGAAUACGUUCCCGGGCCUUGUACACACCGCCCGUCAAGCCAUGAAAGCCGGGGGCGCCUAAAAUCCGUGACCGUAAGGAGCGGCCUAGGGCGAAACUGGUAAUUGGGGCUAAGUCGUAACAAGGUAGCCGUACCGGAAGGUGCGGCUGGAACACCUCCUUU
Molecule: ribosomal RNA, 617 nt
Filed under: Segatella copri
Lineage: Bacteria; Pseudomonadati; Bacteroidota; Bacteroidia; Bacteroidales; Prevotellaceae
Description: bacterial SSU rRNA
Rfam family: Bacterial small subunit ribosomal RNA
Source: RNAcentral